ACUUCCUUUCUCUCUGACAAGACGACUAACCUCAUAAGUGGUUUCAAACUUAGUCUUGAGGGACAACAUAUUAAUGAUGGAUCUCGGAUGUAGUCUUUUUGUAAUAAUAUUAUUAUUCAGUGUCAGAGGAUAUGAGUUUUGCGAUAUCGACUCCUAUUUUGACCCAGUAAUUCAUAGAUGUGAUUUGUGUAGUAAUAUAUGUGAUAACAUGGAUUCAACGAAUACCUAUGAGGACUGCCAACGUUACUGCCCAGAUUACGGUAAAGCGCAAGGGUGUUCGGACGAUCAAUACUACGACCAGAACGUGGGGGAGAUGUGACUCGUGUGCGGAGCUCUGUCACGGAGAAAACAUUCACGACACAACGGAAGAAUGCAAAGCCAAGUGCCCCAGCUUUCACCGUGGCGGACAUGGUUCUGGUUCAGGAAGGUCGACGGGGCCAAUUAUUGCAACAGCAGUGACAUGUUCCGUCAUCGUUAUGGCAAUUGUCAUAGUGGUACUACUUUGCCGGACCCAGCGUCUCCCAUCACUCUUACAGAGGUGUCGCCUGUAUCCAGAAAAAAGGCUAAAUUCAGCCACAACAGUGCAGUGAUGGAAGCGAUACUUCAGGAUCUAACUUUUCUUCUGUCAGUGACGUUCAUCCACAAGUAACUGAUGCCACUGUAGUUGUCAUGACAGAGGGGUUUCCUGAUUUACAUACACAAGCUCGUCAUAGUUCAAUGGAUGUUCUUAUACACUAACCCACACCAGUGAACCAUGUCACGCUGACCAGUCUCUGACAUGCCAAGGUGACGGUCCGCACAUCAGCCCCUUGAAACCAGUUGACCUCUAACCAGGUUGAAAUUGGUCAAAUGCGACAUGGAAGGGCUGCACUGAGAGGCAUUGUUCGGAUCUCUCGUCCAGAUGAUCAGAUUUGAAGAAAAUUGCCAGUUCAGACAGCAGGGGCUGUAAUAAAGGCGAACCCGACAUACACAUUAGCUUCGGAAAAGAAGUUUUUGCCGUGUUGUGUCCCAAAUGUCCAAAAUAUAUGAUACUUUAUUAAUAUUAUAAAUAUUUGAACAGGACAUCACACGGGUGACAGGUGUUAUCUUUCAUUUGGACCACCGACAAACCAAGUCAUCUGAAAAAACGUUUUGACACUAUAUGCAGCAUUGAAAGAACCUUGUGUAUUGAAAUAUUUUCGCAAAUUCGAUCCAAUUUACAACUCUAUGUACGUCCAUGCUGAUUUGUCAUUUGAGUGGUGACUCCAUCCCUAAGGAUCUCAGCACUCAAUAUUUAACUAUACCUUAGCUUUGUUGUAUUCAACAUUUAAUUCAAAUCAUUUUAGCAGCAGACUCAGCUGAUAUACCUGAGCUGUUCUUUCUGUACAUUUAUACAUAUGCUCGCCCAAUUGUUAUAUUAUUAUGUUUUGGAAUUAUGGGACUGGUGUCACUGA
Long non-coding RNA from Haliotis rubra (blacklip abalone), 1433 nucleotides. RefSeq lists it as uncharacterized. The record is from RefSeq and is a predicted model, not a curated record. NCBI's taxonomy places the organism in Eukaryota, Metazoa, Mollusca, Gastropoda, Lepetellida, Haliotidae. The transcript has 4 exons.